UACAGAGGAGCCAAGCGUUGUCCGGAUUGACUGGGCGUAAAGCGCACGCAGGCGGAUGCGCGCGUGGGGUGUGAAAUCUGGCCGCUUAACGGCCGGGCGCCAUCCCAUACGGCGCGUCUGGAGUGAUGCAGAGGUCGAUGGAAUUGCCGGUGUAGUGGUGAAAUGCGUAGAGAUCGGCAGGAACACCCAGGGGGAAACCAGUCGACUGGGCAUCUACUGACGCUGAGGUGCGAGAGCGUGGGGAGCGAACCGG
RNAcentral lists this ribosomal RNA (253 nucleotides) under uncultured bacterium. RNAcentral describes it as "partial 16S ribosomal RNA". It matches the Rfam family "Bacterial small subunit ribosomal RNA", at positions 524 to 776 of the family's 1533-position model. The record is from RNAcentral.